GACGAACGCUGGCGGCGUGCUUAACACAUGCAAGUCGAACGGAAAGGCCCUGCUUUUGUGGUGUGCUCGAGUGGCGAACGGGUGAGUAACACGUGAGUAACCUGCCCUUGACUUUGGGAUAACGUCAGGAAACUGGGGCUAAUACCGGAUAGGAGCUCCUGCUGCAUGGUGGUGGUUGGAAAGUUUCGGCGGUUGGGGAUGGACUCGCGGCUUAUCAGCUUGUUGGUGGGGUAGUGGCUUACCAAGGCUUUGACGGGUAGCCGGCCUGAGAGGGUGACCGGCCACAUUGGGACUGGGAUACGGCCCAGACUCCUACGGGAGGCAGCAGUGGGGAAUAUUGCACAAUGGGCGGAAGCCUGAUGCAGCAACGCCGCGUGCGGGAUGACGGCCUUCGGGUUGUAAACCGCUUUCGCCUGUGACGAAGCGUGAGUGACGGUAAUGGGUAAAGAAGCACCGGCUAACUACGUG
Molecule: ribosomal RNA, 468 nt
Filed under: uncultured bacterium
Lineage: Bacteria
Description: partial 16S ribosomal RNA
Rfam family: Bacterial small subunit ribosomal RNA
Source: RNAcentral